Long non-coding RNA from Cryptotermes secundus, 4674 nucleotides. RefSeq lists it as uncharacterized. The record is from RefSeq and is a predicted model, not a curated record. NCBI's taxonomy places the organism in Eukaryota, Metazoa, Arthropoda, Insecta, Blattodea, Kalotermitidae. The transcript is spliced from 5 exons.
CAGAGUCAGUACUGGGGAGAAACUCGUAAGGAAACACGGAAGGUGGUUCCAUUGUGCUGAAUGCUACCGCAGAAUUCUGCCGUUCGUUAGGUGACAUCCCCAUUUAUGGUCUGGCUGGCAACUGAUGAGGACGCUCAGGAACUGCUUGACUCUGAGAGGGAAAUGAUUGAAGGGAAGAAACGUCAGAAAGAAGAAGGCAAACGUGGAGCUUGGAAUGAAGUUGAGACUGAGAUGAUGAAAAGUUUGGGCGUCGAGAGCGCUACAGUGGUCUGACCUCAGACUUCAAAGAAAAGGAGGGCUACAAACCAAAUGUUAAACUCUGCUACACAGAUGAUGAUGGACAUGUACUUAAUGCAAAGGAGGCUUUCAGAUACCUGUCUCAAGAAUUUCAUGGAAAGGGACCUGACAAAAAUAAAAUGAAGAAAACUGAACAGGAAGGAAGCAAUCAUCUCAAAAACAAAACUGCAAAUUCUUCAUGGAAUGUGCUGGCACCAACUCUGAACUUUGGCGUGGACUUAUGUUUUUAUUGUUUCUUACUGUCUGGAAUAUCAUCUCUCUUUUUAAAUAAGACACAGCUUGCAGCUGCUGACAUUGCCUAUGUGUACUGGAAGGAAGGCCACAGAGUUCAUGUCACACUCAAAUGAGUACAGUGGUUCUCCUGCUUCCUUAGGUUACCUGUUGGCACCCGUAAGCUGAAAAGUACAAUUUCUAGUGAUUAGUUGCUUGCUUAUAGGACUUGAGCCAGAUGAACAGCCUCUAAGCUAAAUCAGACAUUAAUUAGUAAUUAUAUUUGGCCUUUCUUGAUUGCAAUAGCAAAAUUGUAUAACCCCCAUCCAUGUUGCAUUCAAGCCUGCAAUUUGGUCACUAAACCGUGUGACAUGUAUCCUUCCAAGGGAAGAAAGAAACCCUUGUUCAUUGAUAGGCCAGUAUGAAAAACUGUAAAAUUAUACAAGCAACAGAAUCAGAAGAUGUACAGUCUACUGCAAAUCAUUGUAAAGCACCACUGAUAUAUAUCACUGAAACAUUUGUAAUGGGUUAUAAAAGUAACUUGGUUCAUCCUGGUCCAUCACACUAGUAAUUAAUUGUAUGUAAAAUUUUUAACCACCGUCUGUUGUGAUUGAUAAAAGUUUUUAAUUAAUCAUCCUUUACAUGUUCCAAUCAAAACGCCCAUCUUCAGAAGGAUAUUAUCAACACAUGGAAACUACUACAUGUUACAUGUCAUAGAUAUAAAUACAAUAUAUUUUUAACUGAUAUUGAGAUGUGCAUUGAUUUGUUAAAGCAUCUAAAAAUUAUUACAAUUAGUCUGUUUACAAAAUAAUGUUCCAUAUUUUGAAUCUAGAACCAAUUUGGUUUGUGUUGUUACACUUCUGUAAUAAUUUGAGAUGUUUUAACAAAUCAGUGUACACCUUAGCAUUAGUUAAAAGACAUAACAUAUAUAUGUAUGACAUGGUAACAAUAGUUUCCUUGUGUGUUCAUAAUAUCCUUCUGAAGAUGGUCGUUUUGACUGGAACAUGUAAAGGAUGAAAAAUUAAAAACAGCUUUUAUCAAUCCCACUGGACGGUGGUUACAAAUCUUAUAUGUGGUUAUAAAAGUCCUGUGUUUAAUCCACUUGCAGAUGAUCAAGAGUCUUCUAUAGGUAUACGAAAACUUCCAAGACACAUAGACUCAGCCAAUAAUGUCAGGUCAUGAAACUGUGUACUGAUCUUAAGGCAUCUUCUUGGGGGUGGUGAUAAUGAUUUGAACCCAAAAUGAAUAUAUAAGUCAGUGCUGAACAUUAUCUGAAGUCUGAAUUGUAAUCCUGAUGUGUUACUAGUCUUCACUUAAGUAGGUACACAGACAGACUCCAGGUGUUCCCAAACUUAUAUUUUCCUUGAUAUCAGUAAUGUAUAACUGGAAGUUGACAUCCUCAGUCACAUAUAUUCCAGCCACCUGAUUAUUUAAGACAGUUUCAAUAUGUUUUAGUCUUUGUUAAUAGAAAUUAACUUGAAGUCACACUAUUACAAAAGUUGUUACAUUUGUGUAUUUCUUCAUGAAAUAGGGAUUAUAAUUUAAAACAUGUACACCUACUCCAUUAGGUGCAUGCAGAUUAUGUUGUUCAGUUAGUGUGGUUAUGUGCAGGGUUGGAAUUUUGUAUGGAGUUGAUUUCCGUUUUGUAACAAUUCUCACCUAGAGCAGUCUGCGUAUGGUUAUUGAUGGUCAUUACUAUCUGUCCUUACCAUAGAUGAUCAAUUCUUCAGUAAAUGGUUUUCAAACAAAAGGUAUGACACACCUAUCAAAAGAAACAAAAGAUUUUGUUUCUUUAUUAGUCAGUAUCCUGUUGAGAAAGGUACAAUAAAAUAGUUUCACUUGGUGUAGUAUUUAAAUGUAUAUCAGCUGUAGGAAAAAUGAUAUAAAAAUGUUUUAAUUUCAUAAUAUGUUUGUGUGCACUAAAAGUUUAUCUGUAAAGUUGAGGUAACUGCGUGCAGUUGGGAGACGUGCCAUUUCUUAUUAAUUUAUACAGAUUUCCUAACAGACUCGCUACUGUGAUGAAGAUUUUUCAAACAAUUCUCUGAGAAAUAAUUACAUUAUGUAAAAUAAUUCAUCUGAACUGAUCACAGUUCAGUUUAAUCAAUACAACACAAUUACUAUAUUGUUGUAAUGUGCCAAUAUUUCUUCUUCAUAAAUGGAAGUACAGUCAUCUACAAACACCAGUGUUAUGUAUGAGAUAUGAGAUAUUCAGGAUAGUGAUCAUGAGGAAUUUGGAAGUGAGGCUGUGUAGGUGGGUAGGAGUCUGCCAACAUUUUGGAGGAACCUUCAUAAGAGUAGACCUACAUACAUUCUAUCACAUCCUGACUUUUGAGCAGUAUAUUUGAGAUAAGUCUUCUGAAAUGUAAUCCUCCAUAAUUUGUUUUAACCAACACUGCAGACAAAUAUACUUCCUCCAUCUUCAGGAUGGAAAAUUGAAGGUGAAGGCAAUGUGUUCCUCUGAAAUGUCGUUAAACUUCUACCAACCUACACAAUAUCAUAUCCCAUAUCAUCAGCCAAAUCAAACUGUUGUUUGUGGAUGACCUGAUUUCAUAUUGUGACUGCAAACACAACAUGAUGCGUCAAUGAGUAUUAUUCAUGAAUGGGAACAGGUCAAACAUCUGUACAUAUGUAAUCUAAAUGUCUAAUAUCUGGAGUCAUCCUGAAGCUGGAGGCACACAUUCCACCAAAACGUUAGUAUCCACCUAUCAGACUGCAGCAUGGUGUAUUUCACCAGAAUUCUGGUAUCCGCCUUCUGACUACAACACAGUGUUAUAGCACACAGCAUCCCCACCAAGGAACUUGAUGAUUAUACAGCUUUCCAGUUUUGUCAGGAAAGUUACAUCAAGGACUUGUAGCUCAGAUGGGGAGAACACAAAUACAUUUCAUUUCAUGCAUCCUGUUGUGUUAUUAUAGAUAAUUCUUUUUUGGAGUUCGUCGUAACACAACAACAUAACAGUGAAGGUUAAAAUUACCUAGCUACAUGUUUCGUCUCUUUAAAGCCAUCGUCAGGCAAAGCACAUGAUUACUAAUAAUGUGUGAAUGUAAUAAUUAUGUUUUUUGCCUGAUGAUGGCUUUAAAAAGCCAAAACAUGUAGCUAGGUAAUUUUAACCUUGACUGUUAUGUUGUUGUGUUGCGACGGACUCCAAUAAAGACUUGAACACAAAUAUGUACAAUAUUUUUCUUGGAAGAUGCUGGAAAGCAUCCACUUGGGAAAGCAAAAGUGGUGGAAGAAAGAAAUUAAACCAGAUCUUGUCAAAAUUGGUUAUUAGACUCUGGAUCAUGAUGUGUCCACUGGUGGGCUUUGGUGUUAGCAGCAUUCAUCAUCGAAGGGUAUGCUGAAAAGUAAUGCCUCAAUAAGACUGGCAAAAAUGUGGUUCUGUCAUGCCACACUUACAGAAGUACAGGUACUGCUUGGUAUAUGCAAGUUGGAAUUAUGUUGUUUCAUUUUAAUGCAUUCAAUUAAUUUAGACCUAUAACACUUUCUUUAGUAUGAACUAAUUGCUGGCCAAUCAAGAGAGGUGGAAGAACGGGGGAUUAGGAUGCUGUGUAGGCGUUGAGGAGGAAUGCAAAGGGAGAAGAUAAAGUGUGGCUUACCUGAUGUCAUUUAUGUCAUUGCACCCCCUGCGAGUCCUUUUGGGAAUAUAACUAGUGCGUUAAUUGAUGAAUACCUGUACAGCUGUGUCUAGAUUGCAGAAGUGGUUGUUUGAGAAGUAAUUGUAUAGAAUAGGGAACAAAGUUCAAGGAAGGUAGCCAUUUAUGUUUCAAUGAAAUUGCUGUUAUGGAAAAGAAAUCGGGAGCCAUUACUUUCAGCAUGCCCCUGUACAAGCUCUGUCAACAGGAGAAGACACACUUCCGAAUAAAAUAUCCCACAUUGUGAAAUUGUAAAUUUCAUAAUGUUAAUUGAAAUCCAUAUUUAGAUGUUUGUUGCUUAACGUCUAGUGGUGUUCUGUGUACAGAGCACACUUGCCAUUUUAUCACAUCACUACGUGGAACACAGAAUACCUAUGGCAGCCAUAACUUCUGUCUCUAACAGUGAUAUUAUAUCAAAACUGCCAGUUUUUUAUACAUGUUCAGAAAAAAUGCUAUCAGCUGUCUAUUCAUGUAUGGGUAGUCACAUUUUCAAUUUCCUGUGGCGUGUAACAAAUACUGUAUACAUCUGAAAUAAAA